This 332-nucleotide ribosomal RNA is filed under the name uncultured eukaryote. RNAcentral's name for it is "partial 18S ribosomal RNA". It matches the Rfam family "Eukaryotic small subunit ribosomal RNA", at positions 1470 to 1796 of the family's 1831-position model. The record is from RNAcentral.
CCCUUAGAUGUUCGGGGCCGCAUGCGCGCUACACUGGUCGGAGCAGCCGGAUUCUGCGUCCUCGGUCGAAAGGCCCGGGAAAUCCGCGAACCCCGACCGUGCUUGGGAUAGGGAAUUGCAAUUGUUUCCCUCGAACGAGGAAUUCCUAGUAAGCGCGAGUCAUCAGCUCGCGUUGAUUACGUCCCUGCCCUUUGUACACACCGCCCGUCGCUACUACCGAUUGAGCGUUUUAGUGAGGUCCUCGUAUUGGAGCGCGCCGACGUCGUGAGGCGCCGGCGCGAGCCGAGAAGAUGAUCGAACUUGAUCGCUUAGAGGAAGUAAAAGUCGUAACA